GAGUAACGCGUGGGUAACCUGCCUCAUACAGGGGCAUAACGGUUAGAAAUGACUGCUAAUACCGCAUAAGCGCACAGUACCGCAUGGUACGGUGUGAAAAACUCCGGUGGUAUGAGAUGGACCCGCGUCUGAUUAGCUAGUUGGUGAGGUAACGGCCCACCGAGGCGACGAUCAGUAGCCGACCUGAGAGGGUGACCGGCCACAUUGGGACUGAGACACGGCCCAGACUCCUACGGGAGGCAGCAGUGGGGGAUAUUGCACAAUGGAGGAAACUCUGAUGCAGCGACGCCGCGUGAGUGAAGAAGUAUUUCGGUAUGUAAAGCUCUAUCAGCAGGGAAGAAAAUGACGGUACCUGACUAAGAAGCCCCGGCUAACUACGUGCCAGCAGCCGCGGUAAUACGUAGGGGGCAAGCGUUAUCCGGAUUUACUGGGUGUAAAGGGAGCGUAGACGGCGACGCAAGUCUGAAGUGAAAUACCCGGGCUCAACCUGGGAACUGCUUUGGAAACUGUGUUGCUAGAGUGCUGGAGAGGUAAGCGGAAUUCCUAGUGUAGCGGUGAAAUGCGUAGAUAUUAGGAAGAACACCAGUGGCGAAGGCGGCUUACUGGACAGUAACUGACGUUGAGG
Molecule: ribosomal RNA, 625 nt
Filed under: uncultured bacterium
Lineage: Bacteria
Description: bacterial SSU rRNA
Rfam family: Bacterial small subunit ribosomal RNA
Source: RNAcentral